This is a non-coding RNA of Aphanomyces astaci, 72 nucleotides long. The record is from the annotation of a RefSeq genome assembly. Lineage: Eukaryota; Oomycota; Saprolegniomycetes; Saprolegniales; Verrucalvaceae.
GGGAAAAUAGCUCAGUGAUAAAGCAUCGGUUUCUAAACUCAAAAGUUGUGGGUUCGAUCCCAGGCUUCCCCG